CUCCAUUCCGAUUUUUUUGAUUCUUCUGCUUGUACAUAACUUCUUUUUUCCUUUGUUGAUUGUACAUAUAUUUUUUGGCUACUUCAUCCUUUUAAUGAAGUAGUCUUUUCUCAAUAAAUUUUUCCUUACCUAUUAAAAUUUUUUUUCGUUAGAUUACUAUUUAAGACUUUAUAUUAAUUUUACCAAUUGAUAUAUAAAUUUUAGAGAAUCAUUCUCAACAUCCCCAAUUUGGGUUUGUCUCUUUACCUACACUUUCUAUUCCCCAAUUUUCUUUGCUAUAAAUCAAUUCCACCAGCCCAUUGGUUACUUUGACUGCAUCACCCAAUAUACUUGUCGAUUCAUUCAUAGAUCUAAUUGUACAUUAUUGCCUCUUCUUUUGUCCAUAUCUAAAAUUGAAAGAGAUCAAGAAACUCAAACUGCAAUUACAAGCCUUGGAGCAGAAACUGCGGCAGGGAUGAAGUACUACAGAGAGACCUUGAUAACUACCGAUGAAGGGAUAAAUCUGUCCAACCAUAUUCCCCACCACCUCAAAUCUAUCCAACACCACCAACUCUUUCACCAUCACCUUCACCAUACCUAUUUUCACAACCACCUGCCCAAAACAUUUAUAUACGUUCCUCCCAUUAACUUUCAACCCAUCCCUACACAAUUAAGCCAACACCAUGAGCCUCGUAAAACCCAUGGGACACAAAAAAACCCGCCUACCAGAGAAAAAACCAAACAACAUCAUCAACCUUAGAAAGCCCUUGAGCCACAAAGAACCCACCUACCAGAGCCACAAACAACCUAACUACCAGAACCACAAAAAACCUUUCCACCAAACUUGUUGACCCCUCAACCUCUAAAGCCUCGACACGUUAUUUCCAAAUCAAAGAGACUUGAGACUAGGUGAAAUUUAUGUUCUUUUUGCAUUGAUGCAAAGACCUUCACGUUGGUCCUUGAGAAAAGCAGAGCAGAUCCUUAUUCAAUCCAAGAGCGCAGGGGAAGUUAUAAGGGUCCCAUGUGGUUUGGCUGGUCCGGUCUAGAUCGGAUAGUGGCCAAACAUUUCAGAAUUGCACUCUUGGGAUUUGGGCCAGAAAAGCUUUUUACAGGUUGGAAAGCUCCUGCUUUGAAUGCUUAUGGUCAAUUUUUAUAUUUGGGGGAAAUUCUGUAAUUUCUGCAAAUCCUGCGAAUCAAGGGUAUUUUGGUGAUUUGGUUGAGUCUAGAAUCUUCUAGGAGAUCCUAAGUAUCUUAGGUUUAUUUUCUUUCAGUCUGUAUCUAUUAGGUUUUAUUUAAGUAGUUAAACUAGUAGACCUAAUAGAACUAGGAGUCCUAUUACUACUAGUACAAGCAUGAAUCUUUAUAUAUUGUGCUCAAUGUAUUCAAAGGAAGUAGAAUGAGUUGAUUAAUAAAAUUGAGUGUUUUGAGCAAAAGGCCACACAUUGGCCUUUUUCUUUCCCCUUCUCUCUCCUCUUUCUUUUCUUCAUCUUCUUUUUCUUAAGUUACUGUUUAUGGUACUGUUCACACAGCCCUGAACAACCCUAAUUUCUCUCUAAUGCUUCCUUUUUCCUAACCCUAAACCCACCAUGCAUGGACUCAAGGCCUACUGGCCUAGUAGUGUUGACUUGGGUUUUGGCCCAUCAGGUUCUAAAUCUUGUGAAGCCCAAACACAAUAUUUUCUGCAAGGACAAACCUAUAGGGAUAUAUCUUUACCUAUUUCCUCACACACUUGUGUAGAGUAGGGAGGGGGAUGCCUCAAUCGUUACAAUAGAACACAUGAGGCUUUCCAUGGGUUUUUCUUGAGUUUUCUCGGCAAAAGUUACAGCAAUAUCACAAGUUCUUUGGGGAUGUCAUCAGAUUGGUUCAUUGAGUUAAAAGGAGGGCAAUGCCUGCAUAUUCUGACAGAAUUCAAACAACCGACACCUCUCAAAAAUAAUGAGAAACCUGUUGAUGAGAAUUGGAAGCUCUUGGGAGUGGCACAAAAAAGACCGAGAAGAGGGUGAAUGGUGCAAUGACACUGGAUCGAAAACUGAGGUUUAUUAACCAACACCACAUGCACUUUGUUGGAACUAAAAGAAAAAAUGUUAUUCAAUCAUUUCUGAGGAGUUGGAAUCAAGUGGGAUAGGCGAAUUUGGACAACUUUCGGUUCCGACAAAUGAACAUGAACUUAUUUCUGUCUUGGAAUGUCAGGGCCCUAAAUCAUGGGUAUAAAAGAUCAGGAUCAGAAACUUGCUCAAGCUUUGGAAGGCAGAUAUCAUUUGUUUCGAGACACAAAGGUGGAAUUAUUUUCAAGAUUAAUGAUAAGAAGCCUUCGGGGUUGUCAUCACAUUGAUUGGUUAUAUUCUGUUGGGGCCUCAGGUGGAAUUUUAUUAAUGUGGGAUGAGAGUUGUUGAGAAAGUGGAUGAGGUAGUGGGUAAUUUUUCUGUUUCUUGCAAAUUUAAGAAUGUGUCGGAUCAUUUUGAAUAGGCAUUAACAGGAGUUUAUGAGCCAAACAUUGAUGGUGAGAGGGAUAAUAUGUGGGGGCUGAAUUAUCUGGUCUUAUUGGUAGGUGGGAUGUUCCUUGGUGUGUAGGUGCAGAUUUCAAUGUCAUCAGAUUUCCUACAGAUAGGUUAGGGGCCAGACUCUUACACUUCAGCAAUGCAUAGCUUUUCAGAUUCUAUUUCUACUCAUGGUUUGAUUGAUAUCCCUCUUGGAGGCAAUUUCACUUGGUCAAAUAAUCAUGAGUUAGCAUC
Quercus robur (English oak) is the source of this 2711-nucleotide long non-coding RNA. RefSeq lists it as uncharacterized. Lineage: Eukaryota; Viridiplantae; Streptophyta; Magnoliopsida; Fagales; Fagaceae. The record is from RefSeq and is a predicted model, not a curated record. The transcript is spliced from 2 exons.